Molecule: long non-coding RNA, 1143 nt
Filed under: Homo sapiens (human)
Lineage: Eukaryota; Metazoa; Chordata; Mammalia; Primates; Hominidae
Description: HSALNT0162799
Source: RNAcentral
CUGUAAAUAGCGCUUAAAACCACAGUGGAAAAGCCACAUGCUCCUGAUACACUUGGGGGGACAUAAAGGGAAACCCACACACCCAAGGAGGAGGGCUCUGGCCAUGCAAGGCUGAAGGCCCAGUGUACUGAUAUGAAAACUGAAGCUCAGACAGAAGAGGCGACGUUGCUUUCUUAACCACUGGAUUUGCAGUGCUGUGGUUCUCAGAAGAGGCCAGGACAGGUUAAUCCACUCACUUGGGAGGCAGCCGGUGCAGAGCUGAGAAUUUACCCCAGGCUACCAGCCUUCCGGCUGAGAGAGCAAGCUGACGCACGGUUCCUCAGCUGUCCCAUGGAGCCUGUUGCGGCCAUCCACCUCCUUCAAAGGAAGGAAAUCUUUCCAUAUCACCCAGGCUGAUCUUCAACGAACUGGACUCAAGUAUUCCUCCCACCUCGGCCUCCAGGGUUGAAUGUACAGCUGGUAUAAAAAUGGUGCUUUGUCGUCAUGAAGAAGGUGUAUUCUGGGAUCAAACCACCUGGCUGGAGAUGCUUACUAACCUCAGUUUCUUCAUCUGACCUUACCUUUCUAAAAGAAUAAGAAGAAGAUGAUACAUAUUCCUCUAAAGUCCCAACAGGAACCUUUUCCCCUCACUCCCUCCCCAGAGAUGUGUAUCAUUUCCAUGAGUGUCUGUACUUUUACAACAUGUGCAUAUUAAUAAACAAAAUAUGACAAAUUAUUUUGUCUUAAUAUUUGCAUAAAUCUAGCCAUACUCUACACCACUUUUGCAACUUUCACUAUUAUAUAUUUUGAAGAUUAUCCGUGUUUAUGCACAUAAGUUUAUCAUUUUAACUGUUGAAUAGUGUUUCAUUAUAUGAAUUAACCAUAAUUCAUCUAUUUCCCUGAGUGACAAUUAGGUUUCUUUUUGUUUUUAUGCUCUGAUGAACAAUCUUGCAAUUAUUAUCUUUGUAUAUGUCUUCAUGUAUAAGAAAUUCUCCAGGGUAGACACUUAGAAGUAAAGGGUCUGACUCAGAGAGUCUGUGUAUUUUAAAAUGUAUUGGUUAUUGUCAAAUUGUUCCUCAAAGUAGAUGUACCAAUUUACAUUCCUACAGUGGUAUAUAACAGUUUUUUUUUCUCCACAUCCUCUUCAACACUCGUCAUUACCAG